GCGAGCGUGGCGGAACUGGCAGACGCGCAGGACUUAGGAUCCUGUGGGGAAACCCGUGUGGGUUCGAGUCCCACCGUUCGCA
Molecule: transfer RNA, 82 nt
Filed under: Gemmatimonadota bacterium
Lineage: Bacteria; Pseudomonadati; Gemmatimonadota
Also listed under: 1 other name
Description: Gemmatimonadetes bacterium tRNA-Leu
Rfam family: tRNA
About the family: Transfer RNA (tRNA) molecules are approximately 80 nucleotides in length.
Source: RNAcentral